AGUGAACGCUGGCGGUAGGCCUAACACAUGCAAGUCGAACGGCAGCACAGUAAGAGCUUGCUCUUACGGGUGGCGAGUGGCGGACGGGUGAGGAAUACAUCGGAAUCUACUUUUUCGUGGGGGAUAACGUAGGGAAACUUACGCUAAUACCUCAUACGACCUACGGGUGGAAGCAGGGGAUCUUCGGACCUUGCGCGAUUGAAUGAGCCGAUGUCGGAUUAGCUAGUUGGCGGGGUAAAGGCCCACCAAGGCGACGAUCCGUAGCUGGUCUGAGAGGAUGAUCAGCCACACUGGAACUGAGACACGGUCCAGACUCCUACGGGAGGCAGCAGUGGGGAAUAUUGGACAAUGGGCGCAAGCCUGAUCCAGCAAUACCGCGUGGGUGAAGAAGGCCUUCGGGUUGUAAAGCCCUUUUGUUGGGAAAGAAAAGCAGCAGGUUAAUACCCCGCUGUUCUGACGGUACCCAAAGAAUAAGCACCGGCUAACUUCGUG
RNAcentral lists this ribosomal RNA (492 nucleotides) under uncultured bacterium. Its description in RNAcentral is "partial 16S ribosomal RNA". It matches the Rfam family "Bacterial small subunit ribosomal RNA", at positions 29 to 507 of the family's 1533-position model. The record is from RNAcentral.